RNAcentral lists this ribosomal RNA (440 nucleotides) under uncultured bacterium. RNAcentral's name for it is "partial 16S ribosomal RNA". It matches the Rfam family "Bacterial small subunit ribosomal RNA", at positions 338 to 795 of the family's 1533-position model. The record is from RNAcentral.
CCUACGGGGGGCAGCAGUGGGGAAUAUUGGACAAUGGGGGAAACCCUUAUCCAGCGACGCCGCGUGAGGGAAGAAGGUUUUCGGAUUGUAAACCUCUGUUAGUGGGGACGAUAAUGACGGUACCCACGGAGGAAGCCACGGCUAACUACGUGCCGGCAGCCGCGGUAAUACGUAGGUGGCAAGCGUUGUCCGGAAUUACUGGGAGUAAAGGGAGCGUAGGCGGGAUGUCAAGUCAGAAGUGAAAAUUAUGGGCUCAACCCAUGACCUGCUUUUGAAACUGAUAUUCUUGAGUGAGCUAGAGGCAGGCGGAAUGCCUGGUGUAGCGGUGAAAUGCGUAGAUAUCAGGAGGAACACCAGUGGCGAAGGCGGCUUGCUGGGCUUUUACUGACGCUGAGGCUCGAAAGCGUGGGGAGCAAACAGGAUUAGAUACCCGGGUAGUC